This is a long non-coding RNA of Passer domesticus (house sparrow), 4549 nucleotides long. RefSeq lists it as uncharacterized. The record is from RefSeq and is a predicted model, not a curated record. The transcript is spliced from 4 exons. Lineage: Eukaryota; Metazoa; Chordata; Aves; Passeriformes; Passeridae.
GGAGAGAGAAAGCUGGACCCAGAAUGCGUGUGUGCCUUGGACCCGAACAUCUCACUGCAUGGCUGAAUGAAACAUCUGUGGGUACCAUGCAAAGGCCCUUUUUGCUUCUUUACUCUGGAUUUUACUAGCAGCAAAAUUCAGGCCACUACAAAUGAAAUUUGUCAGAGUAAGUUCUGCAGUAAAUCAAGAAUAUGUAGCCAGAAGUAUUGAAAGAAUUAGUGGCCAAAACUUUCUACAUGGAAAAGUUAAGCCUGAAAAGGAGCUUCACUACUGACUCUUGUUUGAAAAUAUCUUCUUUAGUGGUGGCUGCUUAAAUACUUGGCAGCUAUGGCCCUACAGAAGUCAUCACAAUCCUAUUGAAAUACGAAAUUUCUGGAAAUUAUCUGAAAAUAUACACAGCCUCAACCAUUCAGUCCUUCCUUCAGUGUGGAAAAUUUUGCUGUUUGUGAGGUCAGCCUACUUCCUGGCAGGCUGGCAGCACUCCAGAAGAAGUAGACGAUGAAGGGGACAAAAACCCAUGAAAGAGGAUGGUUUCAUCAAUCCUCAACUCCCAUCAGAAAGACCAGCAGCACUUACUCCUGUGCCCCAAACUGUGCUUCCUUUUUGCUUGUUUGGGUCCUUAGGGGUUUCUGCUGCAAUUAUGGAGGAAAGAAAGGUGCUCCUGAUGACAGAACUAGGGCAGUCCUGUGGAGCUGUAGGGGAAGAUGGGCAUCCGUUCCAUAGGUUGUGAUCUGCAAGGAGCAGGAACAAAGAAUACUCUCAGAGACUGAGAAUAUAGGUGUUUUUGGCAGCUAGUGAGUGCAGUGAGUAGCAGACAGGAAAGAAGUGGAUCUUUUUUAAACAGGCAUAUUACUGUUGGGGUGCAGGGAGGAGGAUAAGAAAUCAUCAGGAAGGGUAAAGAGCAUACAGGGAAAAAAAAACAGGCAAAGGGAAAGAGAGGCAUGCUGUCUGGCCUGGCUUGACUUCUCACAGAGGGCAAACAGCAGUGAAGACCCCAAAGAUGAGGAGAAGGAGAAGCUGGAGGGACUGGCCCUGCCCAUAGUGCCUACAGGCUUGGCAUUGAUUCCCUCUAAUAUUGUACCCCCCUCCCCAUCCAACAUGAGGGCACCAAACUGCCAGAACAGACAGAACCUACCCAGUGAAACUAUCUUUUAUGCUGGAGGGACAAUCCAGGUGAGGAGUGUUUUCUUCUCAGUAUGGCUGCUAUGCUAGACUUAAACUUUCCUUGCCAAAGAGCAGACACCUGUCAUUUCUUGAGAAAAAAUCCAGUCUCUGUUGUCUCUGGAGAUCAUAGACACAAACAGUGCAGCAGCUUGCUGGGGUGCUUGCUGUUCCAGGGAUAAAACAGAGUGGUGGAGGCCUAUUGAUGCCCAGGAGAAACAAUUGAAGCCAACUGCUGCAGUAAGGAAGAGCCCAUUUGCUAUGCCUGCUACAGCCAGGUAUGGCAGAGGAAAGGGGUAGGAGGCUACGCUUGGGCUGGGCUGCUGAAUCAUUACUGCCUACGCUCCAGCCCCAAUGUGUCUUGGUGUGCUGCCCCUGCUGCCUUUUAGCAGUUAGGAGUUGGGGAGAGAAAUAAGGAAAGGAAAACAAUGAAUGAUAUUUAAUGAAAUCUGAUUUUCUGUCCAAAUUUUACACUGCUGUGAACUUUUGGUGCUUGGAGUGAGUUGUCAGAAAUCUUCUAACCCAUAACUCUGGCUGGAGCACAGCUCAGUGACACUCUGAAAGGGCCUGUGCAAGUGGCUGGUAGGGCUGUGGGUUGCCUGCCCUUGCCUCCACAAUGGGCUUUGGGUAUGAUGCUGGAUCAAUCCUCAGUUUCUGUCUCUCUAAGUGGAGCCCUUAGAUCUAUCCAAGCAAUUCCAUACAUUUCAUUUUGGUAUGUUAGUGCUGCCAAUUGUGUGGAAUACAUCUCUUCUGGAGAAUGACAUCAAGUCCAGGGCAGAGUGUAUGGCAGAACACGCUUUUCAGCCAGGGAUUGCCAAGCUGCCAUGCAACUUUAAACAAACCUCAGUGACAUCUGCAGAUCUAGGCUUUUCCCCCAAACAUUUAAAUCAUUAGACUUCAAGUCUUGCUCAGCAUUUGCUAAUUAGAUCUGUUUUUAAUGCAGAGCAAUGACAGAAGUGUUUGGGCACUGCUGUUCUUUGGUUGUUUAGCCACAAUAGUUAGGUAUUUAAAGGGCGGACAGCUUUAUGAAUUAUGCACACCACCAAACACUCCUGAGAUGCUUUCACAAACUUAAAAUGAGUUGUAGAAUACUAACAAUCAUGAAAACAAGGGAAAAUUAAAGAUUUGGGUGUUUGGUCCUUUUAACAGGUAUUACUGUGUAGGAUUCUCAAAGGCCUAAGGAGAGUUCCUGUUGUUUCAGUGGAGGAAGGUGAAACAAAAGUCGCACACACCAUAGUACAUGUCCAAAGAUAGGGAUAUAAUUAUGAAAAUGGAGUUUAGUCCAGUCUAUUAGGUGACCAGCUGAAGGUAUUAAGUAUGCAGAUAAUACCCUAUCAUCAUGGAAGUUCACUAGUAGGUGAUGGUUUCCUUUCAGAUGCCUUUGGAGAUCUCAUCCAUCAGAGAUCUAAGGACUCAGCUAAAAGCUCAACUUUCAGUAAUACCAUCCCUUCCAUAAAAUUAAAGGCAAACUAAAUGAGAGGGAAAUGAUUUUUUUAGGUGAGAGAAUGGCUUAUAUCAGGCAUAGCUGAAGAAAAUAUGGUAAAAAAUUUCAGGCACAUCAGCAUUUCUCCUAAUGUCUUCAAUGUGCUGUGAUUGACAGUCUAUAUAGUUGGGAGUGAAACUACAAAACCACAAUACUGUAGCUGUUCUGUAAAACAUAUUGGUAUAUAAGAGCACUGAGUCUGUGGAUGGGAGUCCUACAGUCUACUCUUCAGAAGCAUGCAUAGAAAUGUGUGAAGGAAGUGAAGGUCUGUAGAAGUGUGUGAGGAAAUUGCAGCAAGCGUUUCAUCCUCCUAGCCUGGAACUAGUAUCUAGGAAAACAAGCAGUAAGACUGAUAGGCCAGAGAAGAUUACUUCUCAACUGUACCUUUAUUGGUCCAUAUAUAGUAUUUUAGGGAGAAAUGAGUAGACAUCAAAAUUAUUUUACUGAGUAUUUACAUACUCAUACUUGGAUUUUACUCAAGAGUUUAUUAAUAGGUAUAUUUAUUGAAACUGUGAACUUGAAUGUUAAGAGGAAAAAUGAAACCUUUAAAUGCAAUAAUUUACUGUCAUACUACUUCUGAGAACCAUUGUGCUAGGGUGACAUGAAGCAAGUAACUUGUGUUCUAGUUGAAUCUGCCCAAACUGACAUAUUUGGUAGCAGUUCAAAAUUGCCCAUGUUGCCCAGUAAUCCCCAUGCUGGGUUGGGAAUAAAAAUGGUAGCAAAAUUCCUCUGGUUUUGCAGUAGCUGACAACAGAAAAAAAACCCCAAAACCAGGUAUAUAAUGAUUUUUUAAAAACAUAGCAUUAAUGAAAAAAAAAGGGGGCCAGGGUAAACCCCUGUGUAUCAGUUUUUCCUAAUACAUUAAGAAGAACUGCAGAAAUAAAGAAGUCUCUCAGAAGUCAGAAGACAUCUAAGCUUUCUAAAUAAAUUAAGAUCUGUGAAGUACUCGCUCAGCAUUAUUCAAUCUUGUACUAUGUAAGAAGCAGGAGAAUACCUAGAUCUUCUAUCAGUUUACUUCUUUGACAGAGUCAUUCAGAGAGUAAAGUCUUUCUUUUGCUGGAAGAAUACAGGGAGAAAUGAAAUGAGACCUCUGGUCAGUACAUCAUGUUUUCCAUCUGAUUAGUUUCCAACACAUGGGGAAAACAGCAGAUUGCAUCCUGCAUUUAUUGAAGAACAUACACAUGUGUUUAAAUUACAGCUUCCUUUCUUAUUAUGCAAUUGUGAAUUAUCUUUUUGCAUUCAUAAUUAGAGGGCAGACCUGAUGCAGAAGCUUAGGGUAUAGUGGAAUAUCCAUUAAAGUCACCUAGACUUCUGAAAAAUUAUUCAUUAUAAUGGGGGAAUAUGCCCAUAGGAAUAGUGGUUUUGCUCCAAUUCAUUUGUAGGGACACAAGUCUUCAGCCAAUGUUGCUCAGAUUAAGAAAGUUCUUGAAACAAAAUGGUACUGUGCUGGUGCUGAGGAAAACAAAUCCUUUCUUAUGAAAGAAACAGAUACAUUGUUACAAAUUGAAACUGUCAGUUUGAUGCUUUGUACCCCAAUAAGGUAUGGUAGUGUUGGCAUCACUUAUUUUCCACAGCAUGACUUCUACUGCAAUGGCACAUAGGCUGCAAAAUAUUUUAAAAUAUUAACUAUUAGGCUUUUCAUUUUGAGUGAGACUAAACAAGGACUCAGAUUUUGAUCAAAGACAACCUGUUAGUCUGUAGUUGUGCUUGAUUGACAUUGGCUCUGACAGCCAACAUAAUAACAGACAGACCAUUCUUUAGCAUUUUUACCCUUGUGACCUAAUUCGCCAUCAAAAAAAUGCAAAUAGGUUCCUCAGCAACCUUUUUAACCAUUCAUUUCUCAAUGAUAUUUGAUUUUGCUUUUGCAAUGUCAGUGUACUUGUAUUACAAUUUUAAAGAUAUUUA